ACGCAAACCUCUUCGAUGUUUUAUGAAUUGACGUCUUGUUGAUACUGUUUAAGUAGAAAAGUGAGAAUAGUCAAGGUGUGGAACAGAUCCCUUUGCCAGAUGUAAUUUUUAUAUGUUAACUACGACAGCAGAUUGAAAUGUUGAACAAUGAGAUGAUGCGUCGGGUUGCAAAGGAAUUCCGUUAUUUCCGUUCUCCUUGUAGGUCAAUCCACAGGACUUCAAAAAAUUUAAUUAAAGUCUACGAUUUGUUUGUUUUAUUUGUUUCUGUUGAGUGUAUAAGCUAAAUAAAGGCAAGUCUUUUCUCAA
Long non-coding RNA from Xenia sp. Carnegie-2017, 306 nucleotides. RefSeq lists it as uncharacterized. Lineage: Eukaryota; Metazoa; Cnidaria; Anthozoa; Malacalcyonacea; Xeniidae. The transcript is spliced from 2 exons. The record is from RefSeq and is a predicted model, not a curated record.